UGACUGCAGGAGGGGAGGCUAGAGGGUGACACUGCCCAGGGCUGUGGUCCGAGGUUUCUCCUUGCUGUGGCACGGAGGGCGGUUAUGAAGAUGAUCCAACCUUCCUGGUCCUCAUGCUCGCCGGCUGUUCUGUGGCUGGUGGCAGACAGGCUUUCUUGCCUCAGUUGCAAAGACAGCACUCUGUGGCCUGGCCCUCCAUCACCUCCUAGAACACCUGGUUCUCUGUUCUCAGCUAACAAAGUUCUAGGCUGAUCAUGAAGAUUAAUACUACACCCCCCGUCUCCCUCCCCAGGCCACUGACCAGAACAAGUUUGGCUCAGAUCUUCAGGAGAAAAGGGAAAGAAUGCCCAGAGGGCCUAAAUCCUGCAGCCUCUUAUGUACCCCACACUCCUGCGGGCACGCCCAGGUGGCAGGUUCCGGCCGAUGCAGAAGUCCCCGGGACUGACCACUCUUUAUUGAGCACUUCCUCCCCCGACACACACAUUUUGCCACGCUUUGUGAUAGCGGAGCCUGUAGGACUUUCUCCUUCGCUCCAACUUGAUGCUAGUCUUUGCCGGUAGAGGGCGAUGGAAGAACACUAGAGAGACAGAGCAUGAGAGGGGGAGACAC
Suricata suricatta (meerkat) is the source of this 609-nucleotide long non-coding RNA. RefSeq lists it as uncharacterized. The transcript is spliced from 3 exons. NCBI's taxonomy places the organism in Eukaryota, Metazoa, Chordata, Mammalia, Carnivora, Herpestidae. The record is from RefSeq and is a predicted model, not a curated record.